This 474-nucleotide ribosomal RNA is filed under the name Aphelenchoides besseyi. RNAcentral's name for it is "SSU rRNA". It matches the Rfam family "Eukaryotic small subunit ribosomal RNA", at positions 1104 to 1599 of the family's 1831-position model. Lineage: Eukaryota; Metazoa; Nematoda; Chromadorea; Rhabditida; Aphelenchoididae. The record is from RNAcentral.
UCUUUCGGUUCCGGGGGAAGUAUGGUUGCAAAGCUGAAACUUAAAGGAAUUGACGGAAGGGCACCACCAGGAGUGGAGCUUGCGGCUUAAUUUGACUCAACACGGGAAACCUCACCCGGCCAGCACAUCGUAAGGAUUGACAGACCGAUAGCUCUUUCAUGAUUCGGUGGAUGGUGGUGCAUGGCCGUUCUUAGUUCGUGCUAACGAAGUGUCUGCUUUAUUGCGAUAACGAGCGAGACGCCGACUGCUAACUAGUGCGUCGAUGGAUUCGUUUGUCGACGAUCGCUUCUUAGCGGGAUUCGUGGUUCUUAGCCGCAAGAAAUGGCGCAAUAACAGGUCUGUGAUGCCCUUAGAUGUUCGGGGCCGCACGCGUGCUACAAUGGUGGUAUCAGCGUGAUUGUCCUACGCCGAGAGGCGAUGGCAAACAGUUGAGAUAUUAUUAUGGCUGGAAUUGAGUGUUGAAAUUUUCACUCA